AACGAACGCUGGCGGCAUGCCUAACACAUGCAAGUCGAACGAGACCUUCGGGUCUAGUGGCGGACGGGUGAGUAACGCGUGGGAACCUGCACUUCAGUGGGGGAUAACGACGGGAAACUGUCGCUAAUACCGCAUACGCCCUACGGGGGAAAGAUUUAUCGCUGAAGGAUGGGCCCGCGUCGGAUUAGCUAGUUGGUGAGGUAACGGCUCACCAAGGCGACGAUCCGUAGCUGGUCUAAGAGGAUGAUCAGCCACACUGGGACUGAGACACGGCCCAGACUCCUACGGGAGGCAGCAGUGGGGAAUAUUGGACAAUGGGGGAAACCCUGAUCCAGCAAUGCCGCGUGAGUGAUGAAGGCCUUAGGGUUGUAAAGCUCUUUCGGUGGUGACGAUGAUGACGGUAACCACAGAAGAAGCCCCGGCUAACUCCGUGCCAGCCGCCGCCGUAACAC
RNAcentral lists this ribosomal RNA (452 nucleotides) under uncultured bacterium. Its description in RNAcentral is "bacterial SSU rRNA". It matches the Rfam family "Bacterial small subunit ribosomal RNA", at positions 29 to 526 of the family's 1533-position model. The record is from RNAcentral.